RNAcentral lists this ribosomal RNA (399 nucleotides) under uncultured Peronosporales. Its description in RNAcentral is "partial small subunit ribosomal RNA". It matches the Rfam family "Eukaryotic small subunit ribosomal RNA", at positions 30 to 432 of the family's 1831-position model. The record is from RNAcentral. Lineage: Eukaryota; Oomycota; Peronosporomycetes; Peronosporales.
GCUUGUCUCAAAGAUUAAGCCAUGCAUGUCUAAGUAUAAGUAUUAUACAGCGAAACUGCGAAUGGCUCAUUAAAACAGUUAUGGUUUAUUUGAUAAUCGAAUUUUACAUGGAUAACCGUAGUAAUUCUAGAGCUAAUACAUGCGCAAAUACCCAACUGCUUGUCGGACGGGUAGCAUUUAUUAGAUUGAAACCAAUGCAGUCUUCGGGCUGGUAUUGUGUUGAGUCAUAAUAACUGUGCGGAUCGCGUUUUACGCGAUAAAUCGAUUGAGUUUCUGCCCUAUCAGCUUUGGAUGGUAGGAUAUGGGCCUACCAUGGCAUUAACGGGUAACGGGGAAUUAGGGUUUGAUUCCGGAGAGGGAGCCUUAGAAACGGCUACCACAUCCAAGGAAGGCAGCAGG